RNAcentral lists this ribosomal RNA (1371 nucleotides) under Escherichia coli. Its description in RNAcentral is "partial 23S ribosomal RNA". It matches the Rfam family "Bacterial large subunit ribosomal RNA", at positions 1569 to 2916 of the family's 2925-position model. The record is from RNAcentral. Lineage: Bacteria; Pseudomonadati; Pseudomonadota; Gammaproteobacteria; Enterobacterales; Enterobacteriaceae.
ACGAGGCACUACGGUGCUGAAGCAACAAAUGCCCUGCUUCCAGGAAAAGCCUCUAAGCAUCAGGUAACAUCAAAUCGUACCCCAAACCGACACAGGUGGUCAGGUAGAGAAUACCAAGGCGCUUGAGAGAACUCGGGUGAAGGAACUAGGCAAAAUGGUGCCGUAACUUCGGGAGAAGGCACGCUGAUAUGUAGGUGAAGUCCCUCGCGGAUGGAGCUGAAAUCAGUCGAAGAUACCAGCUGGCUGCAACUGUUUAUUAAAAACACAGCACUGUGCAAACACGAAAGUGGACGUAUACGGUGUGACGCCUGCCCGGUGCCGGAAGGUUAAUUGAUGGGGUCAGCGCAAGCGAAGCUCUUGAUCGAAGCCCCGGUAAACGGCGGCCGUAACUAUAACGGUCCUAAGGUAGCGAAAUUCCUUGUCGGGUAAGUUCCGACCUGCACGAAUGGCGUAAUGAUGGCCAGGCUGUCUCCACCCGAGACUCAGUGAAAUUGAACUCGCUGUGAAGAUGCAGUGUACCCGCGGCAAGACGGAAAGACCCCGUGAACCUUUACUAUAGCUUGACACUGAACAUUGAGCCUUGAUGUGUAGGAUAGGUGGGAGGCUUUGAAGUGUGGACGCCAGUCUGCAUGGAGCCGGCCUUGAAAUACCACCCUUUAAUGUUUGAUGUUCUAACGUAGACCCGUGAUCCGGGUUGCGGACAGUGUCUGGUGGGUAGUUUGACUGGGGCGGUCUCCUCCUAAAGAGUAACGGAGGAGCACGAAGGUUGGCUAAUCCUGGUCGGACAUCAGGAGGUUAGUGCAAUGGCAUAAGCCAGCUUGACUGCGAGCGUGACGGCGCGAGCAGGUGCGAAAGCAGGUCAUAGUGAUCCGGUGGUUCUGAAUGGAAGGGCCAUCGCUCAACGGAUAAAAGGUACUCCGGGGAUAACAGGCUGAUACCGCCCAAGAGUUCAUAUCGACGGCGGUGUUUGGCACCUCGAUGUCGGCUCAUCACAUCCUGGGGCUGAAGUAGGUCCCAAGGGUAUGGCUGUUCGCCAUUUAAAGUGGUACGCGAGCUGGGUUUAGAACGUCGUGAGACAGUUCGGUCCCUAUCUGCCGUGGGCGCUGGAGAACUGAGGGGGGCUGCUCCUAGUACGAGAGGACCGGAGUGGACGCAUCACUGGUGUUCGGGUUGUCAUGCCAAUGGCACUGCCCGGUAGCUAAAUGCGGAAGAGAUAAGUGCUGAAAGCAUCUAAGCACGAAACUUGCCCCGAGAUGAGUUCUCCCUGACCCUUUAAGGGUCCUGAAGGAACGUUGAAGACGACGACGUUGAUAGGCCGGGUGUGUAAGCGCAGCGAUGCGUUGAGCUAACCGGUACUAAUGAACCGUGAGG